CAGUAGCCGCGGUAACACGUAGGGUGCGAGCGUUAAUCGGAAUUACUGGGCGUAAAGCGUGCGCAGGCGGUUUUGUAAGACAGAGGUGAAAUCCCCGGGCUCAACCUGGGAACUGCCUUUGUGACUGCAAGGCUAGAGUACGGCAGAGGGGGAUGGAAUUCCGCGUGUAGCAGUGAAAUGCGUAGAUAUGCGGAGGAACACCGAUGGCGAAGGCAAUCCCCUGGGCCUGUACUGACGCUCAUGCACGAAAGCGUGGGGAGCAAACAGGAUUAGAUACCCCUGUAGUCCCUGUCUCUUAUAC
This 301-nucleotide ribosomal RNA is filed under the name uncultured bacterium. RNAcentral's name for it is "partial 16S ribosomal RNA". It matches the Rfam family "Bacterial small subunit ribosomal RNA", at positions 509 to 807 of the family's 1533-position model. The record is from RNAcentral.